This is a transfer RNA of 73 nucleotides. It matches the Rfam family "tRNA". From Rfam's summary of the family: Transfer RNA (tRNA) molecules are approximately 80 nucleotides in length. Their secondary structure includes four short double-helical elements and three loops (D, anti-codon, and T loops).
GGUCCUGUGGUCUAGCGGUUAUGACAUCUGACUUUGAAUCAGAAGAUCGCGAGUUCAAUCCUCGCCAAGACCU